AGUGAACGCUGGCGGUAGGCCUAACACAUGCAAGUCGAACGGCAGCACAGUAAGAGCUUGCUCUUACGGGUGGCGAGUGGCGGACGGGUGAGGAAUACAUCGUAAUCUACUUUUUCGUGGGGGAUAACGUAGGGAAACUUACGCUAAUACCGCAUACGACCUACGGGUGAAAGCAGGGGAUCUUCGGACCUUGCGCGAUUGAAUGAGCCGAUGUCGGAUUAGCUAGUUGGCGGGGUAAAGGCCCACCAAGGCGACGAUCCGUAGCUGGUCUGAGAGGAUGAUCAGCCACACUGGAACUGAGACACGGUCCAGACUCCUACGGGAGGCAGCAGUGGGGAAUAUUGGACAAUGGGCGCAAGCCUGAUCCAGCCAUACCGCGUGGGUGAAGAAGGCCUUCGGGUUGUAAAGACCUUUUGUUGGGAAAGAAAAGCAGCAGGUUAAUACCCCGCUGUUCUGACGGUACCCAAAGAAUAAGCACCGGCUAACUUCGUG
This 492-nucleotide ribosomal RNA is filed under the name uncultured bacterium. RNAcentral describes it as "partial 16S ribosomal RNA". It matches the Rfam family "Bacterial small subunit ribosomal RNA", at positions 29 to 507 of the family's 1533-position model. The record is from RNAcentral.